UUCAUGUCUUUUGUAUUAAAGAAUUAAAUGGAUGAAAUAUGAAGUUUUAUUAAAAGAAAAAGGGGUGAAAAGAACAAAGUUUUGUCCAUCUUUGUUCAUCAUAGCUGAAAGUUAGAGAAGAGAAAGGAGAGGAGAAAGCUCUUGAGUAUUUGGUCAUUAAGAGGAGGAAAAUUGAAGGCGGUUCGUGCGUGGAUCUCGUCAGCAUAUCGUCGCAAACAGGUAAUCCCCAACCAUAGUGGGCUUGGAGCUAUGAGGCGGUUCGUGUGUGGAU
This is a long non-coding RNA of Gossypium arboreum, 271 nucleotides long. RefSeq lists it as uncharacterized. The record is from RefSeq and is a predicted model, not a curated record. NCBI's taxonomy places the organism in Eukaryota, Viridiplantae, Streptophyta, Magnoliopsida, Malvales, Malvaceae. The transcript has 4 exons.